GGGGCAUUAGCUCAGUUGGGAGAGCACCUGCUUUGCACGCAGGGGGUCAGCGGUUCGAGUCCGCUAUGCUCCA
Molecule: transfer RNA, 73 nt
Filed under: Enterococcus phage EFGrNG
Lineage: Duplodnaviria; Heunggongvirae; Uroviricota; Caudoviricetes; Herelleviridae
Also listed under: 3 other names
Rfam family: tRNA
About the family: Transfer RNA (tRNA) molecules are approximately 80 nucleotides in length. Their secondary structure includes four short double-helical elements and three loops (D, anti-codon, and T loops).
Source: Rfam by way of RNAcentral